RNAcentral lists this long non-coding RNA (2730 nucleotides) under Mytilus galloprovincialis (Mediterranean mussel). Lineage: Eukaryota; Metazoa; Mollusca; Bivalvia; Mytilida; Mytilidae. The record is from RNAcentral.
AACAACAACAAAUUAGAAGUGAUAUUUUUUUUUUUUAUUUCAAAUUGCCUAUCAUUACAAAAACAGUAGGCACCAUAAAAGAUACAUGAACCAUGAUUUCUAAAUUACACAUGAUAACAUUUCAUUCUAUAUCUAAAACAAUGGCAUGUUCCAUCUUGCUAAACAUAAAUAUUUACGUAGCAAAAAUCUAUGAUGGUUAGUUUUUAGGUGGACAUAAAACUAUUGGUAAAUCUCUAACCGUAACAAUAUCAGACAUAUUCUAUUACAUGCAAAUGAUCAGAAAUGAAUUUUUCUACUAUAAAUAUGACAGGCUGGUCCAAUCUAACUAAACAGAGGUUAAAAAUAACAAUUACAUGCAUUGUUUGUGUGCCAUAUAAUUUUUAUAUGUAAUGAUUAAAUUGAAAGACUCAAUAAACAUACUGUAUUUGAACAAAUUAAUAUGCUCAAAAAUAAAAUAGAUGUCAGCUUUAAUUGACCUCAUCCCUUGGUAUUUAAGGUUCACGUAAAGAAAGGAACUAAGCACAAGAACAAAUUUAACAUAAAAAGUUUUAUGCAAACAAAGUCCUAAAGUUUUUAUUUUUUAUUUUUCUUUCACUAGAUAAUUAAUAUUUCAAUAAAAUCCAAAUUUAUCUUGACAUCUAUCUUUCCCCCUUCCUCUUCCCAAAAAAUUAACCAAUGAUAAUGUUUUUAAACUCAUGUAAAUAAGAUUAAAAUAGAAUAAACCUUUAAUCUAACAGGAUAUUUGACAAUUUUUUUUUGUCUGUGAAAACUGGUAAGAGUAUCCAUAAGUUUACCAUUAAAAUGAUAUCUGCAUUGAAUGUUGAACACUUACAAAGAGAUUUUGUAAUGGACAAUAUACCAACAAAUUUGAAUAAUAAUGAUAUUAAAACAAAAGUGUGGUCUUGCAUUUAAUAUCACUCCUUAAUCAUACUGCACAAGACUUUAUGAAAAGUAUAAAGGGCAUUAAUAUGUCUUCUUUUGAAUGCCUUUUAUAAACAGGUUUCUCAUGUUAUUCUCAGUAGAAUAUCUUUGUAGUGUCAACAAUGGCUAUAAAUUUUGUUGACCUUUUGACCUCUUACAUUCUGCAUCCUUUCCUAUUGGUACAAAUCACACUAACCGGAUAUGAACCUUUUAACCUCUGACAUCCUGCGUCCUCUCAGUGGCAUACAUGUUAUACCAACAAAUCACACAAACUUGACAUUGACCUUUUAACCCCUGACAUCCAGCAUUCUCAAACACAUUCUCCAGUGGUACAAAUGUUAUACCAAAUAUCACACAAACCUUGUAUUGACCUUUUGACCUCUGACAUUUUGCAUCUUUUCUCAAUGGCAUACAUGUUAUACCAACAAAUCAUGCAAACCUGAUGUUGACCUUUAAACCUUUCACAUUCUGCAUGAUUCCACAUAUUCUUUCCCAAUGACAUAAAUAUGUAUAAACCAAUUUUUACACAACUCUAAAUUUCAUUUAUGAAAAAGAGAUUCUAGUGCAGCACUUUACUAAAUAUCAUGUUUUAGACUUAAACACAAAAUAUUCAAACCAUCUAUUUUGUAAUCGGGUACUUUAUACAUUUUAUCAAAAUAAAUGGCAAGCUUCUCACAUAAAAAUCUUUUAACAUAAAGCAACUCCAAUUGUAAGAAAUAUUUGAUGCAAAAUAAAAUUAUCUCUCCUUAUUUGUUGAAACACAGUACAGUUCAUUCAAAUUUUAUCUUAUUUAUAUAUUUGAGUAUAAAAAGAAAUAGAAAUUAAAGUAUACAACAAAAUGUUAAUACGAGUUAAUACUCAAAAUCUAAAAUACCCCUGAUUGUAACAUUACCUCAUAACAGUUUAGAAGGUUGCCUAUACUUGCUUACAUUCACUUCAUUUGAAAUUUGGUGGAUAGGUGUCUCAUUGGUAAUUAUACCACAUCUCCUUAUUCUUAUAUUAAAACAUAAAAUAUGAUUGGUGACAAAAACAUUUCCCUCACAGAACUUUAACAGAAGUAACAUACAUGCAAACAUGAAAGACAACUCUUUAAAUCUUCAAAGGGAGGUAACUUUCUACCAUCCCAAUUGAAAACAGAUCUUUGACAUUUAUCAAUAUAAAGUACAUUAAUUUUUAACAUUUAUUCCUAACAACAAUUUUUAUUGUUUGUACAAACACAACAAUAUAUACAAACUUAAUAUAAAUUCUAGAGAUUUUCUACAAAAAAGACAUCACAUUUAAAACCAUUCACAAUAAAACAAUUUCCCCGUAACAACAUGACAUUUUUUUUUAAGAAUUUCAUAAAACAAAUAAUAAUAACAAUAUAUAAAUGCAUUUGUAACAUGAACAUGAAAUAAAAAUUUACAACAAAACUAACAAUUGUGCUUUAUAUGGGACUAGAUAAAAACAAGAUUUGCACAAAUAUCAUCUGACAACAAAAGAUCAAGUCCAAAAGUUUCAUAUACAAAAUGAAAUCUCCUUGAACGUGUAAAACUUGUCAUACAAAAUGGAAAACAAAUGAGUAUGAUAUAAAAAAUGUAUGAAUUGAAAAAAAUGGCACCUGAUCAAAUUCAAAUACACUAAAUUUUAGUGUAAAUUUAUUCCAAUAUAUAUCAAUAGUGCUUCUUAAAACAGAAACUACUAAAAAAUGUUCCAACAAAGUAUUACUUUGCAAUUUAUCAAUGGACUAUUAAUGAAUUUUACAGCCCUUGUAAAUUGCAUCUUACCUAGAAAAGCUAAAAAUUGUAUAAAUCUACAAUUGAAAUUGUA